RNAcentral lists this ribosomal RNA (254 nucleotides) under Escherichia coli. Its description in RNAcentral is "partial 23S ribosomal RNA". It matches the Rfam family "Bacterial large subunit ribosomal RNA", at positions 2677 to 2925 of the family's 2925-position model. RNAcentral also lists the same sequence under 1 other name. Lineage: Bacteria; Pseudomonadati; Pseudomonadota; Gammaproteobacteria; Enterobacterales; Enterobacteriaceae. The record is from RNAcentral.
CCUAGUACGAGAGGACCGGAGUGGACGCAUCACUGGUGUUCGGGUUGUCAUGCCAAUGGCACUGCCCGGUAGCUAAAUGCGGAAGAGAUAAGUGCUGAAAGCAUCUAAGCACGAAACUUGCCCCGAGAUGAGUUCUCCCUGACUCCUUGAGAGUCCUGAAGGAACGUUGAAGACGACGACGUUGAUAGGCCGGGUGUGUAAGCGCAGCGAUGCGUUGAGCUAACCGGUACUAAUGAACCGUGAGGCUUAACCUU